This 549-nucleotide ribosomal RNA is filed under the name uncultured bacterium. RNAcentral's name for it is "bacterial SSU rRNA". It matches the Rfam family "Bacterial small subunit ribosomal RNA", at positions 355 to 896 of the family's 1533-position model. The record is from RNAcentral.
UGAGGAAUAUUGGGCAAUGGGCGCAAGCCUGACCCAGCCACGCCGCGUGUGUGAUGAAGGCUUUCGGGUCGUAAACCACUGUCAGGAGGGAAGAAUGUCCGGCUCUCAAUAGGAGUCGGGCUUGACGGUACCUCCAAAGGAAGCACCGGCUAACUCCGUGCCAGCAGCCGCGGUAACACGGAGGGUGCGAGCGUUGUUCGGAAUCACUGGGCGUAAAGCGCGCGUAGGCGGUCGUGUAAGUCGCGUGUGAAAUACCGGGGCUCAACCCCGGGACUGCAUGUGAUACUGGCGAGCUAGAGUGUGGUAGAGGGUAGUGGAAUUCCCGGCGUAGCGGUGAAAUGCGUAGAUAUCGGGAGGAACAUCAGUGGCGAAGGCGGCUACCUGGACCAACACUGACACUGAGGCACGAAAGCGUGGGGAGCAAACAGGAUUAGAUACCCUGGUAGUCCACGCGGUAAACGAUGAGAACUAGAUGUUGGGGGAAAUUGUCCUUCAGUGUCGCAGCUAACGCGUUAAGUUCUCCGCCUGGGGAGUACGCCGGCAACGGUA